UGAAACAUUUCAAACAGGAAGACCUCAAAGUGAUAUGUGAGGUGAUCAACCUUUGCAUCCACCCGACUACGAGUAGAAGGACAUCCAUUAAGGACCUCUGUGCUAUUCUGGAGAGCAACAUUGACACUUCCAUCACUGCAGAGCUCAAGGCGUCUUCGUUGGCAUGGGCCGAGCUUGCACUUUCAUCCUAACUAACAGAAGGCUAACACAGUAUAUAUAUCCGAAAUAUGUAAUUGUCUAGCGCUUUCUCCUUUUCGUUUUUUGACCUCUCGAUUUCGUUCCCUAUGUGUUCUGGAGUGAUGGUUGAGUUCAUGUAAAUUUUGAGUCUGUA
RNAcentral lists this unclassified non-coding RNA (331 nucleotides) under Hevea brasiliensis (rubber tree). The record is from RNAcentral. Lineage: Eukaryota; Viridiplantae; Streptophyta; Magnoliopsida; Malpighiales; Euphorbiaceae.